This 72-nucleotide transfer RNA is filed under the name Camelus ferus (Wild Bactrian camel). It matches the Rfam family "tRNA". Rfam says of the family: Transfer RNA (tRNA) molecules are approximately 80 nucleotides in length. Their secondary structure includes four short double-helical elements and three loops (D, anti-codon, and T loops). Further hydrogen bonds mediate the characteristic L-shaped molecular structure. tRNAs have two regions of fundamental functional importance: the anti-codon, which is responsible for specific mRNA codon recognition, and the 3' end, to which the tRNAs corresponding amino acid is attached (by aminoacyl-tRNA synthetases). tRNAs cope with the degeneracy of the genetic code in two manners: having more than one tRNA (with a specific anti-codon) for a particular amino acid; and 'wobble' base-pairing, i.e. permitting non-standard base-pairing at the 3rd anti-codon position. Lineage: Eukaryota; Metazoa; Chordata; Mammalia; Artiodactyla; Camelidae. The record is from Rfam by way of RNAcentral.
GAGGGUAUAGCUCAGUGGUAGACAGCAUGCCUAGCAUGCAGGGGGUCCUGGGUUCAAUCCCCAGUACUCACU